Molecule: long non-coding RNA, 641 nt
Organism: Oncorhynchus tshawytscha (Chinook salmon)
Lineage: Eukaryota; Metazoa; Chordata; Actinopteri; Salmoniformes; Salmonidae
Source: Ensembl
GACUGGGAUGACCAACACUGGUAGGCAGAGAGACUGGGAUGACCAACACUGGUAGGCAGAGAGACUGGGAUGACCAACACUGGUAGGCAGAGAGACUGGGAUGACCAACACUGGUAGGCAGAGAGACUGGGAUGACCAACACUGGUAGGCAGACAGACUGGGAUGACCAACACUGGUAGGCAGACAGACUGGGAUGACCAACACUGGUAGGCAGAGAGACUGGGAUGACCAACACUGGUAGGCAGAGAGACUGGGAUGACCAACACUGGUAGGUAGAGACAGACUGGGAUGACCAACACUGGUAGGUAGAGACAGACUGGGAUGACCAACACUGGUAGGUAGAGACAGACUGGGAUGACCAACACUGGUAGGCAGAGAGACUGGGAUGGCCAACACUGGUAGGUAGAGUGACUGGGAUGACCAACACUGGUAGGUAGAGAGACUGGGAUGACCAACACUGGUAGGUAGAGACAGACUGGGAUGACCAACACUGGUAGGUAGAGACAGACUGGGAUGACCAACACUGGUAGGUAGAGACAGACUGGGAUGACCAACACUGGUAGGUAGAGACAGACUGGGAUGACCAACACUGGUAGGUAGAGACAGACUGGGAUGACCAACACUGGUAGGCAGAGAGACUG